GGGCCAUUAGCUCAGUUGGUUAGAGCGUCCGACUCAUAAUCGGCAGGUCGUAGGUUCAAGUCCUACAUGGCCCACCA
RNAcentral lists this transfer RNA (77 nucleotides) under Methylosoma difficile. Its description in RNAcentral is "tRNA-Met". It matches the Rfam family "tRNA". Rfam says of the family: Transfer RNA (tRNA) molecules are approximately 80 nucleotides in length. Their secondary structure includes four short double-helical elements and three loops (D, anti-codon, and T loops). Lineage: Bacteria; Pseudomonadati; Pseudomonadota; Gammaproteobacteria; Methylococcales; Methylococcaceae. RNAcentral also lists the same sequence under 5 other names. The record is from RNAcentral.